This 253-nucleotide ribosomal RNA is filed under the name uncultured bacterium. RNAcentral's name for it is "partial 16S ribosomal RNA". It matches the Rfam family "Bacterial small subunit ribosomal RNA", at positions 524 to 776 of the family's 1533-position model. The record is from RNAcentral.
UACGUAGGGACCAAGCGUUGUCCGGAAUCAUUGGGCGUAAAGCGCGCGUAGGUGGCCAUUUAAGUCCGCUGUGAAAGUCAGAGGCUCAACCUUUGAAAGCCGGUGGAUACUGGAUGGCUAGAGUACGGAAGAGGAGAGUGGAAUUCCUGGUGUAGCGGUGGAAUGCGCAGAUAUCAGGAGGAACACCAAUAGCGAAGGCAGCUCGCUGGGACGUUACUGACACUAAGGCGCGAAAGCGUGGGGAGCGAACAGG